GACGAACGCUGGCGGCGUGCUUAACACAUGCAAGUCGAACGGAAAGGCCCUGCUUUUGUGGGGUGCUCGAGUGGCGAACGGGUGAGUAACACGUGAGUAACCUGCCCUUGACUUUGGGAUAACUUCAGGAAACUGGGGCUAAUACCGGAUAGGAGCUCCUGCUGCAUGGUGGGGGUUGGAAAGUUUCGGCGGUUGGGGAUGGACUCGCGGCUUAUCAGCUUGUUGGUGGGGUAGUGGCUUACCAAGGCUUUGACGGGUAGCCGGCCUGAGAGGGUGACCGGCCACAAUGGGACUGAGAUAGGGCCCAGACUGCUACGGGAGGCAGCAGUGGGGAAUAUUGCACAAUGGGCGGAAGCCUGAGGCAGCAACGCCGCGUGCGGGAUGACGGCCUUCGGGUUGUAAACCGCUUUCGCCUGUGACGAAGCGUGAGUGACGGUAAUGGGUAAAGAAGCACCGGCUAACUACGUG
Molecule: ribosomal RNA, 468 nt
Filed under: uncultured bacterium
Lineage: Bacteria
Description: partial 16S ribosomal RNA
Rfam family: Bacterial small subunit ribosomal RNA
Source: RNAcentral